RNAcentral lists this ribosomal RNA (256 nucleotides) under uncultured bacterium. RNAcentral's name for it is "partial 16S ribosomal RNA". It matches the Rfam family "Bacterial small subunit ribosomal RNA", at positions 521 to 776 of the family's 1533-position model. The record is from RNAcentral.
UAAUACGAGAGGCCCAAACGUUAUUCGGAUUUACUGGGCUUAAAGAGUUCGUAGGCGGUUCGGUAAGUGAGGUGUGAAAGCCCUCGGCUCAACCGAGGAAUUGCGCUUCAAACUGCCGGGCUCGAGGGAGAUAGAGGUGAGCGGAACUGAUGGUGGAGCGGUGAAAUGCGUUGAUAUCAUCAGGAACACCAGAGGCGAAGGCGGCUCACUGGGUCUCUUCUGACGCUGAGGAACGAAAGCUAGGGGAGCAAACGGG